CAAUGCAAAGAAGGCAUUAGAAGAACAAU
RNAcentral lists this small RNA (29 nucleotides) under Arabidopsis thaliana (thale cress). Its description in RNAcentral is "ATSL287070". The record is from RNAcentral. Lineage: Eukaryota; Viridiplantae; Streptophyta; Magnoliopsida; Brassicales; Brassicaceae.